This 406-nucleotide ribosomal RNA is filed under the name uncultured bacterium. Its description in RNAcentral is "partial 16S ribosomal RNA". It matches the Rfam family "Bacterial small subunit ribosomal RNA", at positions 30 to 526 of the family's 1533-position model. The record is from RNAcentral.
AUUGAACGCUGGCGGCAGGCCUAACACAUGCAAGUCGAACGAGUGGCGGACGGGUGAGUAAUGUCUGGGAAACUGCCUGAUGGAGGGGGAUAACUACUGGAAACGGUAGCUAAUACCGCAUACUAUCGGAUGUGCCCAGAUGGGAUUAGCUAGUAGGUGGGGUAAAGGCUCACCUAGGCGACGAUCCCUAGCUGGUCUGAGAGGAUGACCAGCCACACUGGAACUGAGACACGGUCCAUACUCCUACGGGAGGCAGCAGUGGGGAAUAUUGGACAAUGGGCGCAAGCCUGAUCCAGCCAUGCCGCGUGUAUGAAGAAGGCCUUCGGAUUGUAAAGUACUUUCAGCGGGGAGGCGUUACCCACAGAAGAAGCACCGGCUAACUCCGUGCCAGCAGCCGCGGUAAUUC